AGCAUCUUAGCCCAGGGGGAGAGCGCCGGGCUCAUAUUGCAUGACACCCGGAGGUCGCUGGAUCGAAACCAGCAGAUGCUA
Molecule: non-coding RNA, 81 nt
Organism: Xylariales sp. PMI_506
Lineage: Eukaryota; Fungi; Ascomycota; Sordariomycetes; Xylariales
Source: the annotation of a GenBank genome assembly